This 513-nucleotide ribosomal RNA is filed under the name uncultured bacterium. RNAcentral describes it as "partial 16S ribosomal RNA". It matches the Rfam family "Bacterial small subunit ribosomal RNA", at positions 28 to 523 of the family's 1533-position model. The record is from RNAcentral.
GACGAACGCUGGCGGCGUGCCUAAUACAUGCAAGUUGAGCGCUGAAGGUUGGUACUUGUACCGACUGGAUGAGCAGCGAACGGGUGAGUAACGCGUGGGGAAUCUGCCUUUGAGCGGGGGACAACAUUUGGAAACGAAUGCUAAUACCGCAUAAAAACUUUAAGCACAAGUUUUAAGUUUGAAAGAUGCAAUUGCAUCACUCAAAGAUGAUCCCGCGUUGUAUUAGCUAGUUGGUGAGGUAAAGGCUCACCAAGGCGAUGAUACAUAGCCGACCUGAGAGGGUGAUCGGCCACAUUGGGACUGAGAAACGGCCCAAACUCCUACGGGAGGCAGCAGUAGGGAAUCUUCGGCAAUGGACGAAAGUCUGACCGAGCAACGCCGCGUGAGUGAAGAAGGUUUUCGGAUCGUAAAACUCUGUUGGUAGAGAAGAACGUUGGUGAGAGUGGAAAGCUCAUCAAGUGACGGUAACUACCCAGAAAGGGACGGCUAACUACGUGCCAGCAGCCGCCGCCG